GAUGAACGCUGGCGGCGUGCCUAAUACAUGCCAGUCGAGCGAACAGACGAGGAGCUUGCUCCUCUGACGUUAGCGGCGGACGGGUGAGUAACACGUGGACAACCUACCUAUAAGACUGGGAUAACUUCGGGAAACCGGAGCUAAUACCGGAUAAUAUAUUGAACCGCAUGGUUCAAUAGUGAAAGACGGUUUUGCUGUCACUUAUAGAUGGAUCCGCGCCGCAUUAGCUAGUUGGUAAGGUAACGGCUUACCAAGGCAACGAUGCGUAGCCGACCUGAGAGGGUGAUCGGCCACACUGGAACUGAGACACGGUCCAGACUCCUACGGGAGGCAGCAGUAGGGAAUCUUCCGCAAUGGGCGAAAGCCUGACGGAGCAACGCCGCGUGAGUGAUGAAGGUCUUCGGAUCGUAAAACUCUGUUAUUAGGGAAGAACAAAUGUGUAAGUAACUAUGCACGUCUUGACGGUACCUAAUCAGAAAGCCACGGCUAACUACGUG
This 497-nucleotide ribosomal RNA is filed under the name uncultured bacterium. Its description in RNAcentral is "partial 16S ribosomal RNA". It matches the Rfam family "Bacterial small subunit ribosomal RNA", at positions 28 to 507 of the family's 1533-position model. The record is from RNAcentral.